ACCGCAUAAUGCGCUCUUGUGCUGUAAUUGGAAAACGGCCAUAGUAAAUUUUUCAACUCUGCACACUUCUCUACAUUAAAAUUGCACCACUUGCCACGCCCGCGCUGUGCUGGUGUGUCUUGUAAUCAGUUGCUCACGGCCUAACAAUUUUUCAUCUUAAAUCUUUAUCUCCACCAUCCUUAGAUAAUGGUUAAGUAAUACCUAAAAUAUAUUACAUACAUAAUAUUUACAGCGAUCAGUUUGGGAGCCAGAAAACCUAUACGAUAUAAUGUUACACAGUAAGUAGCCUUCUAUUUCAUUAGUGACGACUACCGACCACUACCAAACUUCAAGCACUCCAGUGUACUUAGUACGAGUUUUUGAACAUUCUCUUCAACAUCUCGAUAGCGUAAAAGCUAACUCAUAUUAAUUUGUAUAGGGUUGGAACGUUUGCCUACGUUUGCCGCUAGGGGCGCUGUUCCAACUGCAUACAAAUUUGCCUUCUAUAUUAUGUGUUUUAACGUCUUCUCUUGGGUGCCAGAAAUAUAUACACGGACGGCGAAGGCGUACCAGAUGGAGGUCCGAGGGAUUACAAAGAGGCUGUCAGGGUGGGAACAAUCCAGAUAUAAAAAACCCGUAUUAAUUUUUAAUAUUGGUAGAACGUGUUGCCAGCUAACUAGUGCUUUCGGCCGGCCAUUUCUACCACAAAGCAGCUAUAGAAGAAUGCUACACUAGACUAAUGAAAAAAAUUUAAAAACUUUUCUACAAUUAAUUUAAAAAAAAAACACAUUACAGAUUUUCAGCUAAACACGACAACCCCAAUUUCGUCAGAGAUCGCUUCAAAGGCAAGUCUACUUAAAGUAGAAUUAUUUUGUCCGUGCAGUUUGGGUCAUAAAAAAUCGAAGCGGUGAAGCGAGUAUUUCGCUCUCUCUUCCACUCACGAGCCUUAUGGACGGGCAUAGUGAUGCGCAAUAUUGUUGUCGAUAAGCGUUAUCGAUAGUGUAUUUAGUUUUGUCAUUUUGUGGGUUAGUGAUUAAAAUGAAAGAAAGAAUCACUAAUCGAACACUUACACCACGUAUUGCCGCAGCCAGUUAACGAGAACGGCAGAAAUUAACACUUUGUAACUUUUCGGGACUUAUUCUUAUUUCAGUGAAAAAUUUUAACGCAUUGUUGAUAACAACACGUGCAAAUAUUAUUUUGAAUAAAUUCUGCCGUUUUGAUACAAAACAAAGGAGUAGGCAUUGUGUCACUAAAGAAAUUCAGAGAACGAAUUCAUAAAAACACAUUUCUCUUCGACAUAAUAUACUAUAAUUUGCAGGUAAGUACAAAUGACUCUUAGCAUAACAAUGUCUCACCACCCUUCGUAUACCACCCCGCCGCCGUGUACCUAUCUUCGAUGACUCAUUUGUUUUUAUCGAUAAUGGCGUUGCGCCCGCAUAACAUGCUCACCGCCCUAGCCGAGCUAUGUUUUAUGGCCCAAACUGCACGGACAAAAUAAUUCUACUAUAGUUGCUUUUAGCACAUACCAAUUAUUGUACGUAUAAGUUAUUCUGAUUGAAUAUUCAAAUUUUAAAUACAGUUAGAUGUAUAAAAUUUUCUCUAAUCAACUUUCUCUCUACCUAACUAUUCAUCUCUUAUAGUGGUGGGUCAGCUUUCUUUAUUUCUCUUCUCCAUUUGGCUUCGUCUUGGACAUCCCCAUCAGUGAGAUUACAUUCCUUCUUAACCUUCAGCACUAUAUCUUUCCACCUUAUAUUGGUCCUUCACUUUGGUCUCCGAUCGGAGAGAUCAAGCUGCAUUGACAAAUUUCCAUUGUAGCAUGGUGGCUUCCUUUUUCCAUGACCAUACAUUCUCAGGCCACUCUAGCAUCUCAUCGACGAUGUCAAACACAGGUUACCUCGAUUUAAACUUACAUUUUUAUUUUUAUCUAUUAAUCGACAAUCGUACCCUAUUUAACGCGUCAACAACGGACAUUUUGUUUUAAUAGGACACUUUAGAUUUUUUUUUAUUGCAUAGAUGGGUGGAAGAGCUCACAGCCCACCUGGUGUUAAGUGGUUAGCGGAGGCCAUAGACAUCUACAACGUAGAUGCCGCCACCCACCUUGAGACAUGAGUUCUAAGGUCUUAGUAUAGUUAAAACGGUUGCCCCGUCCUUCGAACCGAAACGCAUUACUGCUUCACGGCAGAAAUAGGCAGGGUGGUGGUACCUACCCGUGCGAACUCACAAGAGGGCCUACCACCAGUAAUUACGCAAAUUAUAAUUUUGCGGGUUUGAUUUUUAUUACACGAUGUUAUUCCUUAACCGUGGGAGUUAAUCGUGAAUAUUUGUUAAGUACGUAUUUCAUUAGAAAAAUUGGUACCCGUCUGCGGGAUUCGAACACCGACCGUUGCAUCGCUACAUACGAAUACCGGACGUCUUAUCCUUUAGGCCACGACGACUGAAAAUCCACAGAGAUUUAUAUCCACACAGUCGAGGAUAGGCAGGAAUGGCGCAGGAUAAUCCAGGAGAAAGUUGUUAGAGGUUGCCACGAGGUUCAGCAUUGAGGAUUAUUGACGCAAGGAGGAUAUAUUUUGUAUACAUCUCUUUCCCACACCGCAACAAUUUGAUGUUACCGUCGCCACGCGAGGGAGAAGACCCGGUUUUUCUCAGUUCUCAGCGGCGCUGAUCUCGCGUAUGAACGAUGGUGACCAUUCAUAGAUUUAUUACCAUAUUCCGAUGAUUCCAGAUUUAAUUGACAAGCCCCUGAUGCCUGGGUCUUGGGUUAGCAAAUACAAACAGCCUUACAAUCCGGCGUGGAUGGAUUAUUGUGACCCCUAUCAUUGCGGUGAUUAUCACAAAAGAGCUUGCGGCCUUAACAGAGAUAACAUGAGAUUCGAAUGGUUCCAAAGCGUUUGCCAUUUGAUAUUAAACAACAAAUGCUCAACAUAUAAAGGGACUCUUAAAUAUCAACCGGUCGAUACGAAGUUCUGCUAUAUGUAUGUGAUGUACUUGAGGAAUGGCCGUCAGAAGUGUGACGACACGAGCUUAGAAGCCGACGUAUAUUACUUAAUUGAUUGAGUAAAACUUAAUUUUGUUUUUAAUUAAAGAAUAAAACAAUAACAGACUAAAAGAAAUAUCGCAGUUUUCGAUUGUGAAUACAUUACUUGAGAUUUAUUAAACAAAUUUGGUUCGAA
This is a long non-coding RNA of Bombyx mori (domestic silkworm), 3149 nucleotides long. RefSeq lists it as uncharacterized. The transcript has 3 exons. Lineage: Eukaryota; Metazoa; Arthropoda; Insecta; Lepidoptera; Bombycidae. The record is from RefSeq and is a predicted model, not a curated record.